AGAUGGUGGUCACCAAUUAUUGCAAGUUGUGCUUUACAUUUUACUGCUGACUGUUCAGAGUGAGCUCUGAUCCUGCUUACUAAUAGUUACUAUUUUGCUAUCUGCCAUCCCGCCCUGGUUCUUUCUAUUCAAAGUGAGGUACCCAGCUGAAUUAAGUUGUAGAGGAAUAGGCCUGUAUAGAAACACAAUAGUGCGUAUGUAUGUCUUUUUUCUUGAAGGGAGCUCUAAGAUAAUACCCCAAUAAAGUGGCUUACUGCUUUGUGCCUGCAAGAUGGUUCAGUGAGUGAGUAAAGACCUGCCAUCAAUCCCGACAAAGUGAGUUCUAUUCCUGGACCAAUUUCCACAUGUGCGUUGUGCCCUGCACCCAAUAAAAUUAAUACACACACACACACACACACACACACACACACACAAGAAAAAAGAUGUAACACUUAAAAUACCUAUUUAGUAAUAGUUGUUUUUAGGUAGGAAUGGCUGAUGUCUCCACUGCUGUCAAAACCCAUUGUCAUGGUCCUUUCUCUAGGAUUCUGGGCACUGCAUACAUGUGUCAACAUACUUUAUAGCAAGAGUUAGAAAUGCAAAUGGCCUGUGAGGGCCACAGUGAUAAUGUAAUCCACGAAAACAGAUCGGGUUAUGGAAGCAAGCUUGGGACACCCUGUCUCUGAGGAAACUCCUUCUAUUGACUCAGAUAUCAGAAGUCAGACAUUCUAAAUUCUUUUCUUUUUUAAAUCAGGUUUAAAUGUUGUCUAUCUUUCCAAAAUUAGGGCCAUAUGUUAUCAGGUAGAUUGAGUAUAUGUGAAGAGUGGCCUGAGCUUCUGCACCUUGGCUUCCAAUACCGCCUGAAUGGUGUGCAGGGUGCACACCUGGGAUGCAGGCCAGCAUCUGCAGCGUCUGUCUGGGCCAUGUUAGCCCUUCUCUGUCGCCAGCGCAGCACUGAGCUCUUACCUACUGUGAAAGUGAUAAUAGCUUUGCUUUGUUAGUGUCAGUAACUGCACCUGGCAUUUUCUUUCUUAAACCUAUUCUUGUGAACAGGGUGUUAAAAAUCUAUUUGUAAAAAAGGAUAAAAAAUGUGGUUAUUAAAGAUCAGGUGGAUGGGUGAGGGAGAUGGCACAGACCAUAAAGGGCUUUCAAGGUAAAAGGACCUGGGUUUGAUCCCCAGAACCUACACAGAGAAAAGCUUGGCGGGGGCAGAUGCCUGUAAUCCCAGUGUGGGGAUCAGAGACAAGCAGAUCCUGGGACUCAUGUGAUCCCGGUUAGCUUACUUGGCAAGGUUCAGGCCAACAAGGAACCCAGUCUGAGAAAACAGAGUGGAUGGUGCCUCAGGAAUGAUACCUAAAGUUUCCUCUGGCCUCCACACCUACUUGUGUGUGUGCUUGUUUGUGUGCUUGUGUGUGUUCUUGUGUACUUGCACACACUCACACAUGCACACACUCACAUAUGGUAUGAUGGGUGCAAUGGGUGGAUAAACUGCUUUUUGGACUAUCAACUGUGUGUUCUACUGUCAUUGACUGGGAGGUGCCACAUCUUGGCAUUCUCUAGAAUGGCUUUGUGUUAAUUUACCAAGUGUAAUGUUAAAUGAGACAUUCAGGCCAAGGUCACUGUUACCGUGAAUUAUUAGACCAUUCUCAGGAAACGACAAAAGUACAAAUAGUGGCAGGCUUAGAUUGUUAUCUUUUCCAAUUAUUAACUAAAUUUAAAAAGAAAUGAUCCAAGUAAAUCACUCAUGGAUGAAAUGGAGAUAGUGCUGAAGUUACACACAGAAGGAAGCAUUGGUCUCCUGUCCUGUGUUUCCCCCUCUUACUCCUGUUUUCUGAGGAAACCAUUACAGUUUUAAGAAAUGGUUUCAGUUUAGUUCUUCUGAGGAUUCCCAUUUCUCUCAGUACUACUCUGCCUGUUUCCUGACUGGCUAGUUGUAGAUGUUAUCUUUUGACUUCCUGACCUGCUAGAGGCAUCAGCCUAUUUUCACUGUCCCCUUACCUCUCUCUUCCUCUUUAAUAAAAGCACAUCGCUGCUAUUGGUUCUCGAGUUCUUUACCUUGUAGCUAAAACCUUUGUUCUUUUUUUCUUGUGGGGAUCAAAUUUCAGGGCCUUACAAAGGUUAGAGACAAACUUUUCCAAAAAGCAAAUCCAUGGCACCCCCUCCAUACUCCCCUCCAGGGUCCCUUUAAACACUGAUCAUACAAUUCAAUGAACAGUCCCCUAGGGUUCUUGAUAAGUGCAUGACUCAGCUGUGUUAUCAGCUCUGACGAUCUCUGUGCAGUGGUGAUGGACGUCUCAUCUCUCUGGAGUCCCAUGACCCACAGAUAAUGUCUUUUGGCUUCACACUUCAUGGGGUAAGCGCAGCCUCUGCUUCUUUCUUCUCUUGCUUUUUCCUGCACCGCUUUCCCACAUCUUCUGUUUUCCCCUUUGCAUUCUCAAGAUUAAUAAUUUGUUGUCUAUAAUAGUCUCCAGGGCAUUGUUCAUAAAUUACACAGUGGCUCGAUAGGCCUGCUUCUGCAUUAAUUAUCAUUAUAUUUUACUUCGUUUUGUGGGCCUAAAUAGUAACAAUUCUACGCACUACACUGGACGAUUUCUUAGGAAACAGGCCACUUGCUUAGGUUAUUGGAAUCCAGGCUCAAAUAACCUGCCCAGAUUUUGUUCCUCUCUCUUCUGCUUCUGCCUUUCCUAUAUCUCUGCCCCACAUUUCUUUAUUACCUCCAUUAUGAUUAGGUAUCUUACUUAAGAUCUCUUUCUUCCUCUCUGUUCCUCUUCAGAUGUCUUGUUCUUACUUUAUGACUGCAGUAUCUGUUAGUCUUUCAAAUAACAAAAAUUAAAGGUUCAGCAGUUAAAUGUGUUUGCUGACAAGCCUAACGACCUGAGUUCAAUCCCUGGCAUCUACCUGGUAGAAGGAGAGAACUGUUCUAGUUUCCUUUCCAGUGCUGUGAUAAAGCACUCUGACCAUAUCCCUCCUGGAUCAGUUAAUAGUCAAAACAGUCCCCUACAGAUGUGCACUUAGGGCAGUCUGUUCUAGGCAAUUCCUCAGCCUGGGCUCCUCUCAGAUGACUCUAGAGUGGAAUUAAACCAGCCAAGGGGUUGACGAGAUGGCUCAGCAGUUAAGAACACAGACUGUUCUGUUCUUUUAGAGAACCCUGAGUUUGAUUCCUAGAACCCAUGUCAGGCAGCACACAGCUGCCUGUGAGUUCAGUUCCAUGAGAUUAGAUGCUUUCCUCUGGACUGUGAAGGCACCUGCACACACAUGUACAUAUACAUGUGUAGUUCAAUUGAAAAUAGAAAUCUUUAGAACAAUAAGAUUAAACAAAAUCCCAUCUAACCAGUUCAACAACUGAUUCUCACGGGCUGUCCUCUGACCUACAAAUGCAUGCCACGUAUACGCACCAUCACAGAGAUAGAUAAAUAUAAUAAUUGUAAAAUUUUAAAAAUGUUUUCUUUUUUAACCAUUAUUUUAAUAUUCACAUGGAACAUCAUAUUUUAUAGCAUAAUUUCUCUUCCGGUUAUUCUAUAAAGCUGUGACCCUUUAAUACAGCUCCUCAUGUUGUGGUGACCCCCAGCCAUAAAAUCAUUUUCUUGCUACUUUAUUUAUUUCAUGUAUGUGCAUACACUGUCACUGACUUCAGACACAUCAGAAAGGGACAUCGGAUCCCAUUACAGAUGGUUGUGAGCCACCAUGUGGUUGCUGGGAUUUGAACUCAGGACCUCUAGAGGAGCAGGCAGUGCUCUUAACCACUGAGCCAUCUCUCCAGCCCUUCUUGCUACUUUAUAACCGUAACUUUGCUACGUUAUGAAUCAUAAUAUAAAUGUCUAUGUUUUCUGAUGGCCUUAAGUAAACCCUAUGAAAGGAUUGUUUGUCUUUCAAAAGGUCGAGACCAACAGGUAGAGAAUUGCUGAUCUAUAAGCUUCCCUCAAAUAAAAGCCAUCAUGCACAUAAGAUAGUAAUAAGAUACUGUGUAGAGCUCCCAGGUAGUUGAGCAUGCUCUUAGUGUGGGGGACUCUUGACUGUCCUAUUCUUUUUUUUUUUUUUUUUUGUGGUUCUUUUUUUUUCGGAGCUGGGGACCGAACCCAGGGCCUUGCGCUUCCUAGGCAAGGGCUCUACCACUGAGCUAAAUCCCCAGCCCCGACUGUCCUAUUCUGAAGUUCAGCGGUCAUCAAAAUAGAUCUUAUCCUUUUUCAAAAGUGAACUUCCUGUAUUUCCCCCUGGAGUACACUUGGCCAUUGCCGGGCAGGGAGGUGUGUGCACUCUUUCCUGAAGAACGUUUAAUUAAUCUCCCUGCUCAUAGCCUUAUGUCUCCUCCUCUCCUCUGCUUACCGGGUAAGUGGUAGGAUGACCAAUGGCUUCUCUGUGUUCAGCUGUGUCCUCCUCAUAUUCCUGUGAGAGACACAGAGCACCCUGCCCUGCCAAGCACCAGUUCCUGGCUGCAUUUUGUCUUCUAGACAUUUGCUGAGGUUUCCCCUGUGUAGAUUGCUAUUUCUUAACCUUCAUCUCCGUUCUUCCUCUUUUAUAUUUUUACAGACUUCUUUUAACUUUCAUAGUAGAGGGGUGGUUAGAAGGAAGAAUUAGCCUCCGGUUUUUUUUUGGUGUGCUAAUUUAUGUUAUACUAUGUUUUAUUUGCUGAUAUCCUGUAUUUUCUCAUCACUAUAAAAUUUUCACAUGAAACCUGUUAUUCAUUGUAUAUUAGGCGUAUUCUAUCAAACUAUUGUUUGAUAUCAUAUACUAAGCACUAAAGACUUAUUUAGCCUACUCUAUGCUCUGUAAUGAAAGGUGACUAAUAGAUGUCUUUUUUUUUUUUUUUGAGACAGGCUUCUCUGUGUAGCCCUGGCUGUCCUGGAACCCACUCUGUGGACCAGGCCAGGCUUGAAUUCACAGAGAUCCAACUCUGCCUUUCCACUUCUGGGAUUAAAGGUGUGCACCACCCUACUUAGCAUCUUUAUUUUAACUGCUUAGGUCAUUCUUUCUUUCUUUUUCUUCUUACUUAUGUCAGGCUGGUGGGUUUUUGAGAGAAGGUCUCUCACAGGUUCGCCUAUGCUAUCUGCUGCUGAGUCUAUGAUCUGUCCCCUCUGCCCAGCUGUGAGAUUAGAGAUGUGCACUGUUGUACCUGGCUUUUUAAUGUGCAUCCUGGUGGUUCAAACUCAAUCCUCAUGCUUGAGUGGCAGUCAGUUUAUUGAGUGAGACAUUUUCCAAGCUCCUCCUUUCUGAAAUUCUGGACUUUCUGUAGAGAACCUUCUGAAAGAUGUUGGCGAUGUUCUUAGGUUUAGUGUUAGAUCCAGGGGUUGGCAGUAGGUACAGAGCUAGGAGAUUUACUCGAGAAGAUGGUAUCAUGAGUAAGUUCCUUCCAGACUUUUAGAAAGGUGUGGGGUUUAAGUGCCAUUUACCUGUUGCCUUAAAAACCUGUUCUUAUUCUCAGAUUUGCACCCUGUUGGGUAGCCUUUUGCUAUACAAACACCUCUAUACAUUUAGGGAUGGAAACUUUUGUUCUUGUUUUUAUUUUAUUUAUUUUUUGAGCACUCUCUCUAGCUCUGGAAAUUUAUUUUUUUAAAGACCUGUUGAAAAUCAAUAGACUUAUCAAAAUAAAUGAAAUCAACUAUAUAAAUUCCGGUGGGCAAGUCUUAAUUUAGAAACUCAGAACCAGUAUGUCCUUUGCACAUGCAGUUAAAGCUCAGGUAAAAAUGGGUUUGUGCUUGUCACCAAGUGCCGUGUCCCCACCUGCAAACACACAUUUGUUUUUGUCAGCAUUUCCAAGGACAAGCCUGUUUUGCUUUGUGUGAUAUUUAGGCCAUGGCCAUUAAGCUUCCCUUCUUGGAAACUUAACUGAAAAUUAUUUCCAAAUUAAUUCUGUUCAUAAUAUUUUAAAAACUUAGAAUUACCCCCCCUCUGUGUGUGUGUGUGUGUGUGUGUGUGUGUGUGUGUGUGCUCACGUAUGCGCACGUGCUUUCUUAGAGUGCAACAAGAGUUGUCGUUUCCUUCUAUCAUAAGGGUCUUGAGGACUGAACUUAGGAGGUCAAGCUCAGCGGCAAGCACCUUCACCCAGUAAGCUUUCUUGCCAACCCGUCUCAGAAACCCUUCUAGGAGGUCUGAGGCAUGCUCAGCUGACUGUGGUAUUCGUGUGGGACAAUUAGAUCUUGCAUCUACAUCAAUGCUUACUGCAGUUCAACAUCAAUGCUUACUGCAGUUCAACAUCAAUGCUUACUGCAGUUCAACAUCAAUGCUUACUGCAGUUCAACAUCAAUGCUUACUGCAGUUCAACAUCAAUGCUUACUGCAGUUCUACAUCAAUGCUUACUGCAGUUCUACAUCAAUGCUUACUGCAGUUCAACAUCAAUGCUUACUGCAGUUCUACAUCAAUGCUUACUGCAGUUCAACAUCAAUGCUUACUGCAGUUCAACAUCAAUGCUUACUGCAGUUCAACAUCAAUGCUUACUGCAGUUCAACAUCAAUGCUUACUGCAGUUCAACAUCAAUGCUUACUGCAGUUCAACAUCAAUGCUUACUGCAGUUCAACAUCAAUGCUUACUGCAGUUCAACAUCAAUGCUUACUGCAGUUCAACAUCAAUGCUUACUGCAGUUCAACAUCAAUGCUUACUGCAGUUCAACAUCAAUGCUUACUGCAGUUCAACAUCAAUGCUUACUGCAGUUCAACAUCAAUGCUUACUGCAGUUCAACAUCAAUGCUUACUGCAGUUCAACAUCAAUGCUUACUGCAGUUCUACAUCAAUGCUUACUGCAGUUCAACAUCAAUGCUUACUGCAGUUCAACAUCAAUGCUUACUGCAGUUCAACAUCAAUGCUUACUGCAGUUCUACAUCAAUGCUUACUGCAGUUCAACAUCAAUGCUUACUGCAGUUCAACAUCAAUGCUUACUGCAGUUCAACAUCAAUGCUUACUGCAGUUCAACAUCAAUGCUUACUGCAGUUCAACAUCAAUGCUUACUGCAGUUCUACAUCAAUGCUUACUGCAGUUCAACAUCAAUGCUUACUGCAGUUCUACAUCAAUGCUUACUGCAGUUCAACAUCAAUGCUUACUGCAGUUCUACAUCAAUGCUUACUGCAGUUCAACAUCAAUGCUUACUGCAGUUCAACAUCAAUGCUUACUGCAGUUCAACAUCAAUGCUUACUGCAGUUCAACAUCAAUGCUUACUGCAGUUCAACAUCAAUGCUUACUGCAGUUCUACAUCAAUGCUUACUGCAGUUCUACAUCAAUGCUUACUGCAGUUCUACAUCAAUGCUUACUGCAGUUACUUCCUUUCGAUCUCCUGAAAGCCAUGGAAGUAGCUUGACUAUGUCCAGAUUUCCCACGAUUGUAGCCAUGGAUUUCUUUAGAAAUCGAAGUUUAGAAUCGAAUUUUCCUUCUUGGAGUAAGAUAGGGUUUGCAACCCCAUAGGAAGAACAACCAACCAGACCCCCCAGAGCUCCCAGGGACUAGACUACCAACCAAAGACUACACAUGGAGGGACCCAUGGCUUCAGCCACAUAUGUCGCAGAGGAUGACAUUGUCUGGCAUCAGUGGGAGGAGAAGCCCUCGGUCCUGUGAAGGCUCGUUUCCCCAGCGUAGGGGAAUGUUGGGGUGGGAGUGGGAGCAUCCUCAUGGAAGCAGGGGGAGGGAAGGGGUUAUGGGAGAGGGGGAAAGGCGUUAAUAUUUGAAAUGUAAAUACGGGGCUGGGGAUUUAGCUCAGCAGUAGAGCGCUUGCCUGGCGAGCACAAGGCCCUAGGUUCGGUCCCCAGCUCCGAAAAAAAAAAGAAAAGGAAAAAAAAAAUGUAAAUACAUAAAAUAUCCAGUAAAAAUAAAUUAAUUAAUUAAAAAAAUAAGAUUUUGCAGGCCCAUCUUUCUCUCUCUUUUCUGUCUUCCCUCUCCCUUACUUCUUCUUUAGUCUUUCUCAUAAUUUCUCUUUUGUUUCUUUUCGAGACAAGUUCUUAUCCUAUAGCCCACACUGUGCUGGAGCUCACUGUGUCGUGCAGGUUGGUCUCAGGCCUUCAGUGGUCCUCCUACCCCAGCCUACUGAGUGCUAGAAUUGCAGGUGUGAGCCACCCAACUUAGCUUCUUUUAGAACUUUUAAGUCAUCCUUUUUGUUUGUUUAACAUCUUUUGUAAGGAUGAAGAUAGCAUGUGUUCCUACUUGAACGCAUUUUGUAGCUAUAUUUAUUAUAGCUAAGAAAUGUAUUGCCAGAAGUUUCUUAUUACAGGAUUUGUCAUUAAAUUUUACCUUCUACAGCCUAUAUAAUGAUUGUCACUAGAUGAUCAAAUACUAUUCUAAUCAACAAACUCUUUAAUAAGUUUAGUUUGCUCAAAUAAAUAUAAAUGUCUGUGAGUUUCUAUGGUUCUACAAGUCUUUGGAAAGUAGUUAUGAUAGCAAACACAGAAGCUUUCUGUGUUGUUUUAAAACAAUAAUUUACAUGUAUGAGAGUUUUUUUUGCAUGUAUGUCUAUGGGCUGCUUGCAUGCUUGGUACUUAACCGUGGCCAGAAGUGGGCACUGGAUCCCACAGCACUGGAGCUACAGAUGGUACUGAGAAUCAAACAUGGGCCUUCUGGAAGAGCAGCUAAAUUCUCUCUCUCUCUCUUUCUCUUUCUCUCUCUCUCUCUCUCUCUCUCUCUCUCUCUCCCUCCCUCCCUCCCUCCCUCCCUCCCUCCCUCCCUUUCUCCCUCUCUCCCUCUCUCCCUCUCUCAUUCUUCUCUUACAUAUUACAUCCGGCCAGAGUUUUUCUUCUUUCUCUCCCCUUCCCCAGUCUCUCCCUCCACCUUCCCCCUCUCCCCUAGAUCCACUCAGCCUCCCUCAGAAAAGAGCUUGCCUCUUAGGGACACCAACCAGGUAGAGUAAGACCAGGCAUGAACCGUCACAUCAAGGCUGGAUCAGGAGGCACAGUAGGGGUAUGGGGGGAGGGAGGGUCCCACAAGUAGGUGGAGGAGUCGGACAGCAUCCUCUCCCACUGUUAGGAUUCCCACAAGAACACCAAGCUAUUCAGCCAUAGCAUCAAGCCAGACCCCUACAGGCUUGAUCACUUGGCCCUGGUUACUUGGUUCUGUGGGCCGAGUUCUCAUAGUAUCUAUGAUCCCUGUUUCUUCCAGUCCUUUAGGCUUCUCUGCAGGACUCCUGGAGCUCCCUGUAAGUCUUGUCUGUGGGAUUCUGUUUCCAUUAGUUGCUGGAUGAAGUCUCUUUGGUCUCGUCAAUGACAAUUCUCUUAGGCUUCAAUCCCAAAAUACUCCAGAUAGGACAAACUGUAGGUAGAAGGUUUGGUGGCUGGGUUGGUGUCCCAAACCCUUCACUUUAGAAUAGCCAGUCUCUUUAUCAGUGAGCAGCCUUCCUAGCCUGAGGCUCGUUGGCCUUAGCCAAGGCUAAGCCAGAGUAUUUGGAGUUUACAGUAAUUCAUUUUAUAAGUUAUCCUCAGUGAACAGGCCUGCUUUGUUUAUUAAGUUGUACCUUCAGCUCCUAGCAGCGUAGAGGUAGAUGCUCGAUUAAUACCCAUGGAAGCAGUGGAUGGCGGGCAUGAUGGGUGCAUGAGUUCUUGAGUUGCAAUGUUCAGAUCUGUGCCAGCUACAGGAUUAGAGGGAAUGUGGUAUUCUGUCCCCGUAUCUGCCUUGUUACCAGCAGACACUCGGUCUUCACGAGUUAUUUAUUAUACAAGGAAUUAUUAAUUGGAGCACUGCCCCUAACAGUUCAGAAAAACAGGAAGGCAUGCACUGUACUGUGCAGAUUGGGAGCCUGAACCUAUUUCACAUUUAUUUAUUUUAUUCUGCCCUCUGGAGUCAGAAUAAUGAAAAUAGGAUGCAACUUAAUUUGCAUAUUAGAAAGCAGCCCUUACAGAAAAAUCUGUUUCACCUGUAAACAAAGGGAACUUCGGGCAGCGGCUGAUAGAGUGGAAGGCAAAGGAGAGGAUGUGCUUCUGUCGGUGCAGUGGUGAGCAGAUUCCUGAGAAGGAUGCCAGGAUGUUACAGUAUACUGGGAAUGAUGUUACUGUUUCUGCAGUUCCUUAACGUGAAGAAACACCUGCUGGCUACUGAAAGAGUUGCCAAUUUGUGUAAGAAAUUAUUGAAAGUUGUCCAAGGAUGAGAUAUUAAUUAAAGAGAAACCCUUGAAUUUGACAGCUGUAGAAGACACAAAUCAUCCUUGAACUGGAAUAGAAAUGUGCUUCUUCAGGGAUCAGGAGGAACUGAAUGAAGUGCAUAUUGGAGUCCUAACCUCCCACUGCAGUGGCAGGAGUUUCUGAGCUGUAGUAAAGUUCAUGGUGGGCUAGGGAUUUGUUAUAGACAUGGUUAGUAAACAGACACGACAGUCAGUUUGCAUAGCAUUUAAUUCUAAAGUAAUUAUCUGAUUAUUUCAGGGAGGGUUGGGUGGGGGAGACAGAAAAGAAGAUAGAGAGGAAGACAAUGAGAAUGUGUGUACCCACUCUGUUCAGACAGAGCAGGGAGCGUGCUCUGCUCACGCACUAUUUCCAGUCUCUAGUCUGUGCCUGACAUUUAGAGAAGCUUAGUAAGUGUUUGUGGAAUGAACCAAGGAUAUUCUUUCUCUGGAUCUAGUAAUGAUGGGGUUUGAUGAGCAAGUGACAGAUCUUAAUUCUGAAGGCUCUUUGAAUCAUAUUGUUUAUGCCACUAGGAAGAGACAUCAUUACUGAAAUAUUAUAGGUUAUAUUGAGCAAGUCUGUGGCUAGCGAAUCAGUUUCAAAUUUGAAAUUAUCUUUUGUUUGAAAUUUUUUGUUUCAUACCAACAAUUUAUGUUAAUCAGGGACUGUUUGGUUAUAAGAAAUCCAUUGGAACCAAAAUAAACCAAAGGAUUUAUUUAUUUGUCUUUAUAAAGAAUCAAGUGAAUUUUAUGGUUUUCAAGGGCAGGGGAGAGCAAGGCUUCACUGGGACUGGAACCAGGAACUGGCAUGCUGGCAGACAUGACAGUAGCUGCUUGUCAUCUGAGUUCUUGUAUUUUGGCACUUUAUUAACUUGAUUCUUUUCCCCAGAUUUCUCUAAACAUUGGAUAGAAAUGACUUCAUUCUUACAGGGGACAUAAUUUUCAAUGCUCAGUACCCAGAGCUGCCUCCUGAUUUCAUCUUUGGAGAGGAUGCCGAGUUCCUGCCAGACCCCUCUGCUCUGCACAACCUUGCCUCCUGGAACCCUUCGAACCCCGAGUGCCUGCU
This is a non-coding RNA of Rattus norvegicus (Norway rat), 11104 nucleotides long. NCBI's taxonomy places the organism in Eukaryota, Metazoa, Chordata, Mammalia, Rodentia, Muridae. The record is from RefSeq and is a predicted model, not a curated record.